Long non-coding RNA from Benincasa hispida (wax gourd), 615 nucleotides. RefSeq lists it as uncharacterized. The record is from RefSeq and is a predicted model, not a curated record. NCBI's taxonomy places the organism in Eukaryota, Viridiplantae, Streptophyta, Magnoliopsida, Cucurbitales, Cucurbitaceae.
GGUGGUUCAAAAGCAGAUUUGGAGAAGAUUUGCAGAUGGAAUCGAUAUUCAAGUGUUUCUUCAAAGUCUGUAAUGGAGUCAUUAAAGUUGAAAUUAAGUUGUAAUUGAAGAAAGAAGUGAAGAAGGCCGAGUUGCAGAAAUCUGAAUCUGAGCUUUUGUCCAAGCAUUGUUGCAACACUGCCCUUGAGCAUUGCAACGCUGCUCAUAUUCUAUCGGGGAUCGAGUUUCAAUCGAGUGUCGAGGAGUGAGUUUCAAACUGGUCAAGCAGCAUGCAUCGAGUUUGAACCGGUUUGACGAGUUUGAAUCAGCCAACUAUUUAGCAACGAGUUUUCAACCAAGGACCGAGCGAAGAUGAGCGAGUUGAGCCGGUUUUUUACUGAUUUUCUCCAGAUCCUGUCCGGUUCGGCCUCAAAUGGUUUUUGGCUGGUCUGGUUCAAGCUGCUCGAGUAUGGUUUGGGGCGGUUCGAGUGGUCCAAAAGAGUUUUGAAACUAUUUCUUGUUAAUUUUUGUAAUAAUUAGGCAUUUGGUUGCUUGAAAAUACCAAAACUAAAACCAUAUCAGUAUGUGUUAAUUAUUUAUACAUGUGAUAUAUGUUAUAAUUAAAUAAAUCUUGUA